Molecule: small nuclear RNA, 108 nt
Filed under: Prolemur simus (greater bamboo lemur)
Lineage: Eukaryota; Metazoa; Chordata; Mammalia; Primates; Lemuridae
Source: RNAcentral
GUGCUCACUUUGACAGCACAUUUACUAAAAUUGAAAUGAUACAGAGAAGAUUAGCAUGGCCCCCUGUGCAAGGAUGACACUCAAAUUCAUGAAGCAUUCCAUGUUUUU